GUAGGGAAACUUACGCUAAUACCGCAUACGACCUACGGGUGAAAGCAGGGGAUCUUCGGACCUUGCGCGAUUGAAUGAGCCGAUGUCGGAUUAGCUAGUUGGCGGGGUAAAGGCCCACCAAGGCGACGAUCCGUAGCUGGUCUGAGAGGAUGAUCAGCCACACUGGAACUGAGACACGGUCCAGACUCCUACGGGAGGCAGCAGUGGGGAAUAUUGGACAAUGGGCGCAAGCCUGAUCCAGCCAUACCGCGUGGGUGAAGAAGGCCUUCGGGUUGUAAAGCCCUUUUGUUGGGAAAGAAAUCCAGCCGGCUAAUACCUGGUUGGGAUGACGGUACCCAAAGAAUAAGCACCGGCUAACUUCGUGCCAGCAGCCGCGGUAAU
This 381-nucleotide ribosomal RNA is filed under the name bacterium S13. RNAcentral describes it as "bacterial SSU rRNA". It matches the Rfam family "Bacterial small subunit ribosomal RNA", at positions 148 to 524 of the family's 1533-position model. The record is from RNAcentral. RNAcentral also lists the same sequence under 8 other names.